GGUGGGGUGGCGGAAUUAGUAAACGCGGUAGCCAGCAGAGCUACUGGCCAAAAAGCCUUGCGGGUGCAAAUUCCGCCCCUGCCUCCA
This 87-nucleotide transfer RNA is filed under the name bacterium (Candidatus Gribaldobacteria) CG_4_10_14_0_8_um_filter_33_9. Its description in RNAcentral is "tRNA-Cys". Lineage: Bacteria; Candidatus Gribaldobacteria. The record is from RNAcentral.